CAGCCGCCGCGGUAAUACGUAGGGUGCAAGCGUUAAUUGGAAUUACUGGGCGUAAAGCGUGCGCAGGCGGCUAUGCAAGACAGAUGUGAAAUCCCCGGGCUCAACCUGGGAACUGCAUUUGUGACUGCAUGGCUAGAGUACGGUAGAGGGGGAUGGAAUUCCGCGUGUAGCAGUGAAAUGCGUAGAUAUGCGGAGGAACACCGAUGGCGAAGGCAAUCCACUGGACCUGUACUGACGCUCAUGCACGAAAGCGUGGGGAGCAAACAGGAUUAGAUACCCCCGUAGUCCCUGUCUCUUAUAC
This 301-nucleotide ribosomal RNA is filed under the name uncultured bacterium. RNAcentral describes it as "partial 16S ribosomal RNA". It matches the Rfam family "Bacterial small subunit ribosomal RNA", at positions 509 to 807 of the family's 1533-position model. The record is from RNAcentral.